UGGUGACUAUAGCAAGGAGGUCACACCUGUUCCCAUGCCGAACACAGAAGUUAAGCUCCUUAGCGUCGAUGGUAGUCGAACUUACGUCCCGCUAGAGUAGAACGUUGCCAGGCA
RNAcentral lists this ribosomal RNA (114 nucleotides) under Staphylococcus aureus. RNAcentral also lists the same sequence under 2 other names. The record is from RNAcentral. Lineage: Bacteria; Bacillati; Bacillota; Bacilli; Caryophanales; Staphylococcaceae.